Molecule: non-coding RNA, 71 nt
Organism: Podarcis lilfordi (Lilford's wall lizard)
Lineage: Eukaryota; Metazoa; Chordata; Lepidosauria; Squamata; Lacertidae
Source: the annotation of a GenBank genome assembly
GGGGCAAAGCUCAGGGGAAGAACUUCUACCUUUCAAGGAGAAGGCCGCAGGUUCAACCCCUGGAACCUCCA